RNAcentral lists this transfer RNA (85 nucleotides) under Felis catus (domestic cat). It matches the Rfam family "tRNA". From Rfam's summary of the family: Transfer RNA (tRNA) molecules are approximately 80 nucleotides in length. Their secondary structure includes four short double-helical elements and three loops (D, anti-codon, and T loops). The record is from Rfam by way of RNAcentral. Lineage: Eukaryota; Metazoa; Chordata; Mammalia; Carnivora; Felidae.
GCCUGGGUGGCUCAGUUGGUUAAGCAUCUGACUUCAGCUCAGGUUAUGAUCUUGAAGUUCGUGGGUGCGAACCCCGCAUCGGGCU